CCUACGGGAGGCAGCAGUGGGGAAUAUUGGACAAUGGGCGAAAGCCUGAUCCAGCCAUGCCGCGUGUGUGAAGAAGGUCUUCGGAUUGUAAAGCACUUUAAGUUGGGAGGAAGGGUUGUAGAUUAAUACUCUGCAAUUUUGACGUUACCGACAGAAUAAGCACCGGCUAACUCUGUGCCAGCAGCCGCGGUAAUACAGAGGGUGCAAGCGUUAAUCGGAAUUACUGGGCGUAAAGCGCGCGUAGGUGGUUUGUUAAGUUGGAUGUGAAAUCCCCGGGCUCAACCUGGGAACUGCAUCCAAAACUGGCAAGCUAGAGUAUGGUAGAGGGUGGUGGAAUUUCCUGUGUAGCGGUGAAAUGCGUAGAUAUAGGAAGGAACACCAGUGGCGAAGGCGACCACCUGGACUGAUACUGACACUGAGGUGCGAAAGCGUGGGGAGCAAACAGGAUUAGAUACCCUGGUAGUCCACGCCGUAAACGAUGUCAACUAGCCGUUGGGAGCCUUGAGCUCUUAGUGGCGCNGCUACGCAUUAAGUUAGACCGCCGUGGGAGGUACGGCCGCGAGUAAACGUACAAGUAGAGUUAGACGGCGUGAGACGUGCCGACGGACGACGACGAGGGAGGAGG
RNAcentral lists this ribosomal RNA (625 nucleotides) under uncultured bacterium. RNAcentral describes it as "bacterial SSU rRNA". The stretch from base 1 to 543 matches the Rfam family "Bacterial small subunit ribosomal RNA", at positions 338 to 873 of the family's 1533-position model. The record is from RNAcentral.